GCUCAUCGUCCCACCUGCGCAAACAGUUGUUUUCCUGGUGGCAUAAGGGGAUGCCCACCGGCUGGCAGAAAAAAAAAAAAAAAACCCUCGAGGAAUAUUUGGAAGGGCUGUGGCUGUGCUCUGAAAGCUUCGUGACACCUCUGGUAAUGACUGGAACUGUGGCCCUCUUGUGUCUGUGAGGGGACAAGCUUGAGGACCAAGGCCAACGUACCUAGAUAGCAGAGGGGAAAGAUGGACAGAACCUGCAUCCAUGAUGACAUUCUGAGGCUGUUAUAUUAACCAAUCGCAGAAUCACCGUAUUUCUAGGUUUCUUGGUUAGCCCACCAUUACCACAGAAGUAAUGAUAGCAGGCAUCCUUGAUUCAUUCCAAUCCCAGAAGCACCUUCCGGGGUGAUUCAUAAAAAGUCAGAAUAACCCCAGGAUAAGACACUGGAGAUGGAGAGGAGCAUACGUUUGAGACUUGAGAGGGAUCCCGAGGUUAAGAAGCUUGGAAACUUUUUGAGAACUAAAAGAAGAUAGAUAAGCACCAGAAGAAGCUACCCCACAAAUUUAGUGGGAUGUGUCUCGGUGGCAUUCCAUCAGCAUCACAUAUGGAAACUGCAGUCCCUGCCUCUGCGUUUAUUCACGUGCUGGGUCAGUCAAGCUGCUAAAAUGAAAGCAAAUAAGAAAAAUAGGAAAUAACAUGAGUCAGGAAACAAAGAAAAGUAGGUAACAUUUUUCAAGUGCCUGUAUGUGCCAGGCUUUUUCAUGUACUCCAGUGUAGGCUCUGGAGUCACCGGGUUGAAAUGGAGUCUUUGCCCUUUAGUUUUUUUUGUGGAACAAAAAACCUUAAAAGGCCUAUAAUUGAGAACUUAAUAUAGUCAAUGUCCUAGGCCAGGAGUUUUCUAUGAAGGGUAAUAUUAAUAUAGUAGAUAGCAACUGUCUUCAAGGAAAACAAAUCUGUAAUUUGCGCUUACUAUGGCCAUAUACUUUGUUAGGAGCUUGCUGCAAAGAAAUACACAUGUACAGUCGAUCCUCAUUAUUCACAGAUUCACUAUUGUGAAUUUGCAUACUUUCUAGAAUUUAUUUGUGGCUUCAAGAUCAAUACUUGCUGCACUUGCCCAGUCAUUCGCGGACAUGCACAGAGCAGGGAAAAAUCUGAGUUGCCCGACUGGCGUGUUUCCAGCUGAGGUGGAACAAGACAAUACUCUGCCUUCUUGUUUAAGCUCUCACACUGUAAGCAAGUGUCCUUUUCUCUGUCUGUUUAGUGACACAUCUUUUGCAUUUUUGUUAGUGAUUCCACUGUUUAAAAUGGCCCCCAGUGUAGGGCUGCAGUGCUGUCUAGCAGAAGUUCUUGAGUGCAAGAAGGCUGUGAUGAUGUGCCUUAAGGAGAAAAUGUGUGUAUUAGAGAAGCUUUGUCCAGGCAUGUGUUAUUGUGCUGUUGUCUGUGAGUUCAAGUUAGUGAAUAAACAA
RNAcentral lists this long non-coding RNA (1452 nucleotides) under Equus asinus (donkey). Its description in RNAcentral is "lncRNA (ENSEASG00005024644.1)". The record is from RNAcentral. Lineage: Eukaryota; Metazoa; Chordata; Mammalia; Perissodactyla; Equidae.